RNAcentral lists this ribosomal RNA (402 nucleotides) under uncultured bacterium. RNAcentral describes it as "bacterial SSU rRNA". It matches the Rfam family "Bacterial small subunit ribosomal RNA", at positions 239 to 644 of the family's 1533-position model. The record is from RNAcentral.
UAUCAGCUAGUUUGUGAGGUAUAGCUCACCAAGGCAUCGCACUGGUAAGUCUGGUCUGAAGAGGACGCAUCAGCCACACUGGGUACCUGAGACGGGGUCCAGACUCAUACGGGAGGCAGCAGUGGGGAAUCUUGCGCAAUGGGCGAAAUGCCUGACGGCAGCAACGCCGCGUGGAGGACGAAGGCUUUCUGAGUUGUAAACUCCUUUCAGCCAGGGACGAUUGUGACGGUCCUGCGAAGAAGCACCGGCCAACUUACGUGCCAGCAGCCGCGGUGAAUACGUAGGGUGCAAAGCGUUGUCCGGAUUUUAUUGGGCGUAAAGAGCUCGUAGGCGGUUUGAUUAGUCGGGUGUGAAACCUCCAGGCUUAACCUGGGAGCCGCCACUCGAUACUGUCAUGACUAG